GCCCUCGUGGACCAUGAUGGUCGUCUGGUUCAAAUUGGAAACCAAUAACCCGCGGAGGAUGGCCAGAAAGCGAGGGUUUGAUUCCCUCCGAGGGCA
Molecule: non-coding RNA, 96 nt
Organism: Mycena rebaudengoi
Lineage: Eukaryota; Fungi; Basidiomycota; Agaricomycetes; Agaricales; Mycenaceae
Source: the annotation of a GenBank genome assembly